This is a long non-coding RNA of Acanthopagrus latus (yellowfin seabream), 867 nucleotides long. RefSeq lists it as uncharacterized. The transcript is spliced from 3 exons. The record is from RefSeq and is a predicted model, not a curated record. NCBI's taxonomy places the organism in Eukaryota, Metazoa, Chordata, Actinopteri, Spariformes, Sparidae.
CCUGCAAAUAAAGCGCCAGAAUGCAGUCCAGCGAUGAGGAGAAAUGUAAAAUGCAAAGAACUAAAAGUAUUAUUUCGGGGCUACAGUUUCUGGCUUUAGCAAGUGAAAUGGCAGAAAGUGACAGAAGCGGUAAACAAAGCGAGUCCAGCGCCGCAGACUUUGGAGGAGUUGAAGAAAAGUGGUUUAACUUCGAGCCAGAGACGAAUCUCUGCGCAGUGACAGUGUGCAAGCUGCUGAAGGAGGAGGGGAUCCCUGCGCUCCCUCUGCCUGAUGUGCGUCAUCAUCAUGAGGCUGAACGUGGGGACUGGAUGCGAGAAAGGGGGAUGACAUGCAGCAAAUGGCCAAAAGUCACUCUUGAACCCUGGGCCACUGCAGCGAGGACAAAUACUCUGUACAUGGGUCACAUGCUCUACCAACUGAUCUAUUGGGGCGUGUGUUGUAGCCUUUUUGUUGUGUGCAGGUAAAAAAAGAAAAAAAAACCCCACAAUGCUACAUUCAGAGUGAACACAAUAAAUGCAGUAUAUUCACUGAUUCUUUUAUAGGGCUAACAGUGUUUAUUUGGGUUCUGUCCCCAAUGUGCAACUAACACACACAGGAUAAUUUUGCAAGUUAUUAUAAAAGUUGAUUGUGGAUCACCUUUCACCCAAGCACAGUUUAAUUUCAGCUUUCAGUGGAUUUUGUUGACCAAUCUAAGACAUAAUGGUCCAUGGCAGGUAAAAUUACUUGUAACAUCGUGCAAACUGUACUGCUGCCAUGAUCAUCAAAAGUUUUAAAAUCCUGCCUUCAAAAACAAACAGCUGUCUAUCACCCAAGCCUCAGAGUUUAAAAGAGGAUCUGUUACCAACUCAUUCACUUGGAUUCAUUAAG